UAGGGUGCAGUAUGUUUGGGCAACAGUUUGGAUAGAAACCCUUUGGAAUGCUGGUUUCUGGAAUGAGAGAGCUGCUGAAAGGUUAUUGCCAAACUAAACUGCAAGAUUACUGAGGGACCACGCAUUCUGGAACACACGCUAGGGCAAACGUUCUCAUAUGCAAGCGGCUGACCCACCGCAGUCCGCGGAAAUACGGAGUCCUUCUUGUCUCGUAUCCCACCGGCGCCCCCUACUGAGAAGGUUUAACACCGUACUCACCAUAAAGGAGAGAUGCUGAAAAGAGGCAGAAGUAUUAAAUCCCAGAACGUGCAUGCCGUAUUCUCUUACACUUAAUUGUGUGAUCAUGGAAGCUUGUGUCGAGAUGGUGCCGCCAUCAACCUUGCCAACCCACAGAGGGCGUGUAGCACGGUUAAGGACCUAAGUAUCAGAUGUGGUGCCAUUUGGGCCACUUUGGCAUGCAGACAAGGACUACACCUGAGGGAGAGGGAGAAACGCUUUUGGAAGAAACUGGAUACGUAGAAGACUUCAUGAAACACACCCACCUUCCCACGAUGUACUGUCUACUGCCUCUUGAACUGUGACGAGAGAAAUAAACAUCUAUGCUAUUUGAAACAUAACUAUUGGAAUUGCUUUGUUAUAGAAGCUUAACCUAUACAACCCCUUCCGCUACUAUCCUACAUUCCACGUGAUAUAUCUGCCCUUUAAGCAGGAAAUUAGUCCCAUGGCAGUUCCCUUCAGCAUCUUUCAGACCUGAUGAAUGCUGUCAUGCCCAGUCUAGCUGCAGUGACUCCCACUAGCACAGGGUGAGCGACGAUCCCAGGAACCCUCGCCAGCACCUGAUGGCAGUACAACUCCAGACAGCAGUAGCAGCUC
Molecule: long non-coding RNA, 873 nt
Organism: Mirounga angustirostris (Northern elephant seal)
Lineage: Eukaryota; Metazoa; Chordata; Mammalia; Carnivora; Phocidae
Exons: 3
Source: RefSeq, a predicted model, not a curated record